AUAGAAUAUAGAACAAAAUAGAAUAUAAUUCAAAACAUGGAAUAUAUUUUAGUUAUUAUGAUAUAUAUUUUCGCCCAUUUAUUUUAUUGCUUCUUGCUUUUUGACAUAACUAAAACAAUUAUGUUUUUUUUUUUUUUUUUUAUCUGGGGUAGUAGCCUAAUAUUUUAGUUAUUUUUUUUUAUUUAAUUUAUAUAUCUUUGGCCAUUUAUUUUAGCUUCCAGCCUUUUGACAUUUAACAUAACUAAAACAAUGUAUGUUUUGAGGUUUCUUUCUAGCUAUAGUUUGUUUACAUUUCAUUUAUCCUUUAUUUAGCCAGGAAAAAAAUCCCAUUGAGAUAUAAUAAUCUCUUCUUCCAGGGAGACCUGGGCAAAAACGGCAGCACACAUAUAGUUUCAAACACAUACAUAAUUAAAACACAAACAAUCCAACAAAUCAAAAAUAGAUCGAAGUUCAAGAAAAACAUUUACAAGACUCUUUAAAUGUAGAAUACAGAAUAAAUUUAAAAGUGCUCAAAGAUGGCAAAGACUCUAAUUUCAAUACAUUUUGUAGGUCGUUCCAAACCCUAGGGGCCUAAAAAGAAAAAGCAUGCUUUCCAAAUUCAGUGAAUACUCUUGGGACUUUUAAACAAAGAUGCAGCUGCGAUCUGGUACCAUAACCAUUAGUAUAAAAAAAUAUUCUACAUCCCCAAUCCAACAUCCUCUCCCAUUUGUAAUUAUGUACAUUGAUGUCUUGAGAUGUGCAGAUGUGUUCCUUCUUCGUGCCCACGCGCUGUAGAGCUGCUCAAGCGCUUUAACAUGAUGGUGUGUUAAUAGUGAACAGGUAUGAUGCGCGCGCGCGGCGGGAGGUGAUGGUGGUGGUCAUGUGACGCGGCUCUCGUGAAGGUGGCACACAGACACAGGGAAGAGCGCGACACUUCAUACACCUCUCUCCAACCGAGUUCAACACAACAGCACACAAUCAUGUCUAUUAGCCGGAAAAACUGGUCUGCUUUGUCAACGCUGGCUCGACAGUGGACUGUGGAGGAUGAGGAAGAGGUGGAGAGAGAGAAGAGGAGGAAGACAAGGGAGUCUACAGCAGACUCGGAUGAAAGUCCCACUGAAGAGACCAAACCACAAACCAGUAGUGUUAGCGGGCCUGCUGAUGCUGGCGACUCUGGCGGCGGUGUGGCCCAGCUGCAGAUGGACUUUGUGGAGAUGUUGCGAGUCCGUGAUGAACGGAGGAGGAUGAGGCACGUUGAAACCCUGAGGAAGAAUAAGGAGGAAGAUGAUGGGGGCAAAGAGACCGGCCCGGAUGUGGAGCCCCAUGUGGAGCUGCUGGGGGAAGAGCAGGACGAGGAACUCUUCAAGAACAUUCAGCGAUGCGUGGAGACAUUCAUGUCACCAGAACCUCCCAUCAACUCCAAAGACUCAGAGACACACGAGAAGGAAGAAAAUGGAGGCACGAACCAAGAUUCAACAUCAACAAACUCCCAACCCCCCUCAAAAGCAUCCAGAAAGUUUGUGAGCUCUCUCUCCAUCUCCUUUGAUAAGAGUCCCACAUCACCCCCAGCAACCAGCAGACUGGUUUCUCCUCUGAGCCCCAAGUCUCCGCCCCCUCAGUCCCCGAGGGCGGAGUCACCUCACAGCCCCACCCAUUCAGGCUCAAUGAGCCCCACACCGAAUGGAGACGCAGCGAGACAUGAAAAUGGGUCACCGAGCAAUUUCGAACCAACUGCGAAACCUGCGUUCACACGCCAGAGCUCCAGAACGGUGUCCUUCAGGAUGAUGAAGAAGAAGGAAGAAGAAAACAUGCCGCUACAGAGAAGUGCAAGUGUGCGGAUUGCAGCGAAGACCUUUGAAUCCAAUGAGGUAAAGUUAUUAAAGACAAAUCAACCACAAACACCUUCAGUCCAGUCUCAAUAUAAUACUCUCAAGCUUAUUGUGGAUGUUCUGGCCCACAGGGAUCCAAACAAGAGGAGGAGCAGCAGACCCCGUUUCAGAGAAAGUGAGUGUGUCUGUAUUAGUUUCUGUUUGAGCAGCAGUAAAAGAGGGUGUGUUGAAUUAACUGCUGUCUGUGCUGUUCCUCAAGCUCCCGACAGAGGUUAUCAUCUCACUCCAUUCAGGAGAAAAUGGAACGACUGGCUCAAGCCUCACAGAAAUGGGAAAUAUCCAAAUCCCCAGUGGUGCACCAGACUGUGUGUUUAGCGGAUGAGGUGUCAAGGAAGAGGGAGCUGUUUGAGAAAGAACAGGAGGGAUCCGACAGAAGCCAUGUGUUCUCCAAACAGGAAUUCCGCAACUUUUCUUCAGGAAUCUCUGAUCGGAUUAAUCGCUGGGUUCAGAAGAAAACAUUUACUGUGUCAUCAUCAUCCCCAUCAUCAUCAUCAUCAUCUCAUAGUCCUUUGGAUCUGAGACAUGUGAGCAUCUCCAGUAAGAAAAGUUUGUUUGAAAGAGGACAAGACCAGGACCCCAAGUGACACUCUCACGGAUAAAGACAAAGUUUAAUGAGAUUCAUUUGAUCAUGUGUCUCUGCAGAUUUUGAAGGAAGCUUGAUCGACUCUUUCAGACACUCAGUGCCAAGGAUUGUCUCUUAACUCCUUUUCCUUCUGCUUCUUUACGUUGGCUAAUUCCUCAGCACUUCUAAGGCAUAGUACUGAUCUACAUUAUUUGGGUAAAUUCAAGGCUUAUGUUAUUGGUUGUGAAUGUGUGUACUGAUGGAUUGCGGAAUGCAACAGGACUGUAUUAUAGAGUCUUUACAUAGAAACUGAACAUCACAGGGUUUAUCUGACAGCAGGAAUACAGACAUACAGCUUCUUUGUGUCUGUGCCAGACACUCCUCUUCCUUGUAGCUUGAUAUUUGUGCUGUUGAUAAGGAGAAAGAGGCGUAAUCUAUGACCUGAGCCAUAACUCAAGGUACAAGGUACAACUGUAAUAUCAUGAAUGUCUGUUUCAGUGAACCAGACUGGAAAUAACCUGAAUGAUUCAUUUGUUAUGAAGCUGGAAUCGUGCUCUGAAGCUGACCUAUGCUCUUGCUGCUGUUUUAACUUGCCGGAGACUUAAGUCAUAAUAAGUAAACGUAAUUUAGACGUAAUCUAUAGAGAAAUGUUCCCUAUCAAGCCCUUUGCAAACUGACUUCAAUCCAUUCAAUUCAACCAAGCUUAUGUUUCCUUUUUUGCUAACUGACCUGUCAUGUAAUUAUAUUUUCUGCCCAGGAGGGUUAUGCUGUAGAUUAAUAAAAAAAUGUUUUUUACUAGUGAUUGUGUUGUC
Molecule: long non-coding RNA, 3242 nt
Organism: Cyprinus carpio (common carp)
Lineage: Eukaryota; Metazoa; Chordata; Actinopteri; Cypriniformes; Cyprinidae
Source: Ensembl